AAAUCUUUCGCUAACUUAUUGCAGCGGGACAUUCCUUUUCCUCGAUUAUAACUUUAAUAAAAAUUCUCAAUUAUUUUCUACUCGUACAAUAUUCCAGCCUGAAGAUAUUUCACCACCGAUCAUCGAUAUUUUUAUUCAAUAUUCUCUAUAAGACACAAAAUUCCUAAAAUAUAUAAGAACUUUUAAAUUAUUGUCAGAUACAUUUACUUCGUCUUCAUGAAAACUCGAAAUCCUUUCAUCUCUACGCUUUCUUCGAACGGAAAUUUGAGAUUUCGAAUUUCUUCAAACUUUGCUCGCCGAUCUAACUACUCCGUCCUGAAGAUAUCGCUCGAUCUCAAUUAUUAAUAUUUCCAAUAUUCCCUAUAACACUGAUAAUUACCAAAAUUCCCAUGCCAUAAUGCAAAACGUUUAAGAUAUCUCAUCCUCAGAGACGUUUAGUCGAUCUUUAAAAAUUUCUUCGCUGAUGUAAAUAUUCCACCGUGAAGAUACUUGUCGAUCAAUUUAUUGAUACUUCUAACGACACUAACAAUUGCCAAUAUCGGCAAAAGUCCCUAAACUAUAAUCCAAGACACUCGUAUAGCAAUCUCGAAUAUACAUAGUCGAUGCUUGAAUCUGAAAUACUCGACCCUAAAAAUAUACCUAUCUCGAUCAGUUGAUCUUAUUAACGCUUGCAGUGUUUUCUCACUGCGCUAACAAAUGCCAAAAUCCUGGAAAUCCCCAGUAUCGUAUCUUCAAAGUGAUUUAGUCGAUCUUGAAACAUUGUAUUUUUUAAUAUUUCAUAUGGAACACGUUCCAUUUUUAAACUACGUCUCGACCAAUUGCUUUAACGCUUCCCCUACGACCUUAUUAAUUUCCAGGAUUCCCCGAAUUUGCAAAAGUUACUCAAUUACGAUCCAAAACCAUCGGAAUAUGUUAGAAUGUUUCAUUCGCAAAGACAUUUGUCCGAUUCUCAAACUUUCUUCGCUAAUCUAAAUAUUCCAUCCUGAGAACGCUGGUCGAUAAAUCCUGAAAUCUCGACACAAUCAGUUCAUCCAUCUCCAGCAGCGUAUCGAGGUCCAGAGCAAGAGGAGCAAGAGGAGGAGAUGAGGAGAUGAGGAAGAGGGGGAGGAACAAACAAAAAAUAACUAAACAGAGAAUCUAGUAACGUGGAGAGGCAGAUCAGGCCGACACGGUAUCUCCCUCGCUCCGCUUCUUUCCGCUUUGCUCCGCUUCGCUCGUUGCUGGCCAUAUGCGUUGCCUGCGCCGAUCGCGAUGUUGCACUUGGCUGGAACUCGGCUAAUAAUAGAACGGGACCAACUUUCGUCUCGGCCUCGCGUGCACCAGCUUCCUCGCGGCUGUCACGCUCGAGACCGAUGACACGCUUCGCCGUCUCACCUCGCACCCGAAUUAAUGCUUCUAUUAUUCGUUACUGCAGCGUUAUAGUUGUACAAUUACUGGCAUUAACAUACGGACGACUUAGAGCCGAGUAACUCUUUCAAAAUCGAGCCGAACGACUCGAGUGCUUUCGACAAGUCGGAGGAAUUAGUCGUCCCAAAUGACGUACAAAAAGAGAGUUGCGAAAAAGUCGCAAAUUGGUCGGAUUGGCAAAGACAAAGGUGAAGGUUAGGUUCUUGCAAAGGUUGCUUUUUAAGAUUGGACAUUUUUGAAGGUCUAUUACACGUAUUUCGCAAAUUUAUACGACCACGAAGAUCUUAUUUUAAUCCUUCUAGAGGAUUUAGUAACGCGGGUCUGUCGACGACCACCGUGGACAGUCGUUUCUUUUGUUCGUUCAACUUCAUGUAAAUUCUUGCGUUAAUGAAAAUUGAGAAACUGAUUAAUUGGACGAUACAAGGAGUUGCGUGAAAUUAGACGAACGAAAGAAAUAUUGUAAGAAGGAAGGUGCAAUUUCAGAUUAAAUUUUGAAACUGGUCGUUUCACCAGGCCUGGUAAGCCUAGCGUUAAAGAGUUUAGCUUCUCUCUGUAGUUGGCAUUCUUUCAGGAUUAAAAUACUGGUUUAUCGCGACAGGUGAGUAGAAAUUACUGACUUCCGGUGCGAGAAGACAAAUGGCGAAGGGUAGAUUUGUUGGGAUUUAAAGAUGCUCCGUGGCGUGACCCCGUUCUCCGAUUCGUGAGAAGCGAUCCAGCGGGCCGAUGAAGUAAUCCGAAUCGGAUGAUAGACGCAGCAGAAUGUUUCAGAUGGACUUUGUGGAAUUUUGUCUGGGAUCGAGUGCUUUCGAGAUUAAUUUUGCUUCCUUUACGAAACGGCGAAUAAACCGACGACUCGACGCUAAGGGUAGACGAGACGAUUCAAGAAACCCGAUGAAGAAGCGAUAUGUUGUACUUUGAAGGACAUACAAGUUCCUUUUUCCUCGAGAAACUUGUCUUCUUCAUCGGAAGAACAGGAAUUCCAAUUGUGAGCAUAUUGUCGAACAUCAAAUUCCAAUUUAACAUCGCAGACAAAAUCAAUUAAUCGGAGAUUUAUUUGUCAGAAAAAUGAAAAAAAAAAAAAAAAAAAAAGAAAGGCUCCUAACGAGGAUAAGAGUACCCUUUUCUAGAUAACUAUUUAUCUAACAUACCGGAAAAAGAGCAAAAUACUGGUUUUGAUUAAAAAGAAAAAAACGUGUAAUUUAUCAUAGAAAAAAAGGGUCAAAGUUAUCGGGAAAUUGCACAAUAAUUACUACUAAUUACAGCAGAUAUUGUUAGAAGACAUAAGUAAGACUAUCUAGUUCAAGAAACAAAGAUGACAUCAUUUUUUGAUAAAAAUCCCUGCCACGAUUAAACCUUAGUAUUAGGAAGCAGUUGUUUACGUGUUUUCGAGCUACGAUAAAUGGUUAACACGCUGCUAGAGCAAACAACACGUAAGAGACGUAAAUCGUCUCCUCUUACACGAAGCAACAAAUGUAAAAGCAACUGUUUAGCUCUACCACUGAAAACUCUUAAGAGUUUAUUUAAGAUAUAAAAGUUUAUAUAAGAGUCUAUUCUAUUAAAUAAAAUAAAUAAAUAAAACUGUGAUAUUUUAUCAUGAAUUUAUUUUAUAUAUAACGAUUGUUCUAAGUUGUAAGAUUUUUCAGCGCUAGUACACAUAGAAAAUAGCCGGCCGCAGGCGUUUGUUUCUACAGAAAUGCUCUUUCAAUUUAGUAUAAUAAGAUUGCUCGUAAAAUCUCUUCCUUUUUUUUUUUUCUUUUACUUUCGUAGCUCGUGCCACAGCGUGCGGAUAAUCGUUUCGUAACUACCGUGUAACGCCAUAAAUUGCUGGUGAUAAACGACGUUGCGACGGUUACUUAAUUGCCUUUUGUAGCCUCUCUGCUUGUGACCCUCCGACGCGCGACCAUUUUCAUAUGCCAACGAAAACUGGCCCCGGAUUAACGUGGAAUCCGGUUACCUGGCGAACUUUUGUCAGGAAAAUGGAUCGUUCCGGCGCAGUGCGGCACAUGGUGGACAAAAAAUUGAAAUGAUCAUCGCUCGAUUUUUUGAUCUUAUUAUUCGAUGAUAUUAUCAGCGUGUAAGCGUUAGAAACGUAAGCGACAAUUGGCCAAAAAAAUCGACAAACUUUUUAUUCGAUUAAGAAAAAUCGAGAAACUCGUUUAUAUUAAUCGGAUCAUAUAAAAAUGUAUAUAAAGUUAGACGAAGAAAAGAAGCAACGACCAAUGCACAGUUUUAAAUUAAAUUUUGAAAUCGGUCGGUUGACCGGGCCUGCUAAGGUUGUGUUAAACCGUGUGUAGUUAGACAAAGAAAUAAAUAUUCGAGAUAUUUCGAGCGAGCCAAGUGGCAGACGAAUCACCAACAAAGAUUCGAUAUCGCGUCGGAUCGCCUGGUGUCAAGUUUCAGUCAAAAAACUGCACGUCACAGGCUACUUUUUUGUUUACCUUUGUCCCGAACCCUCGUUCAACUGCCGCAACGUAGAACGUGAAAUCUAAACGUGAAAUCUAAACGUGAAAUCUAAACGCUAAAACGUGGCCUGCAAACGCGCGAACCUAUUCCGUGAACGUGCGAACGUGGCCAGCGAAUUUUGAUUUUUGUCCCGAAUCCUCGCUCAAAUGCCGGACUGUGCGGCAUGCAACGUGGCCAUUAAGGCGGACCCGCAAUCGCGCGACGUGUAAUCCACGAUUGCGGCACGAUUUACGUUCGACGUUUGACAAAGGGAUUGAUCGCAGACGAGGCGUGCUAUUGAUCAUAGACGAGGCGUGGAAUUGUCGAAUUCCACCGUUGGACUGUGUCGGACGAUUUAACCAGCGAAGGGACUGACAUGGAAAUGAUUCGACAGUAGCGGGUAUUACCUCGUGAAACCCAGCGAUUUCUACAGCGCUACAUAUUACCUCGCUUUCAACAAGUAUCGGUUUGGCAAUAAGUGAUGAAGCAAAAGCGUCAGCCUAUAUUUAGACUACCUCCUCUAAGAAGCGAUAACCAGCUACUACAUUCCAGCGGUUUGGCUUGGAAAGCAAACCAUGUCCUACAUUGUUCCAUCCGUUUUUGAUCCUUUGAAAGUAGUAGACUACAACGGCGAUGAAUUCAACAAAAAAAAAAAAAAAAAAAGAAAGAAAGAAAAACGAAUAAAACAA
Long non-coding RNA from Bombus huntii, 4538 nucleotides. RefSeq lists it as uncharacterized. The transcript has 3 exons. The record is from RefSeq and is a predicted model, not a curated record. Lineage: Eukaryota; Metazoa; Arthropoda; Insecta; Hymenoptera; Apidae.